UCCAACCCAAGGAUAGCUACAAUGUCCUGAAGCUAUAACUGACUACAAGACCCACCCGUCGAGCAGGGACGAAAGUCGGCCUUAGUGAUCCGACGGUGCCGAGUGGAAGGGCCGUCGCUCAA
Molecule: non-coding RNA, 122 nt
Filed under: Erythranthe guttata (spotted monkey flower)
Lineage: Eukaryota; Viridiplantae; Streptophyta; Magnoliopsida; Lamiales; Phrymaceae
Description: Mimulus guttatus (spotted monkey flower) Bacterial large subunit ribosomal RNA
Rfam family: Bacterial large subunit ribosomal RNA
Source: Rfam by way of RNAcentral